GAAGACGUCUUCCUCCAAAAUCUUGCUGAGGUGCUCCUCUCUCUUUGCCUCUUCUCUUUUCUCUGUACUUUAUAUUGGCAGUAUUUUCCCUAUCGUGUCUGAUGUGUUCAUGAGCUAAUUUGUUCUUAUAGUGGUUCCAACUUUAUUUCUAUCUCGCAGGAUUUUGUUGCAACGACACAGUGCUGACAAUUUUUGUUUUUGGAAUUUGUCAAUGAAAUUCUGCUCGAUCAGGUAAACCUUUUGUUUGGAUUGUUGGCCGCCUUGUCUAUAUUUGUAGAUACUGAUUUUGUUGUUUGCUUAAUGGCUCAUUAUUUCACAGGGUUCUUAAAUAUAUGUUCACCAAUUCAGAUGAACCGCUUAUUUUAUGUGCAUACUGGAUAUUUGUCGUAUAUGUAGAAGGUUCUACAAUAUAUCAAAGAAAAACAAAACAGAGAGGAUGCUGGGGCUCGGGCAAGGGAGGCUGCGCUCAGUGCAGUACUGCGGUCUUUACUGCCCUUCACUAUUAAUUAAAUAUAUAUUCUCUUCAUAGUUCAUACAGUUUUAGGCUUUUAGCAGUAUGAAAAGUCACAGAUAAUGUGAUGGUGACAUUUGGGCUUAUACAAGUGUUAGUUGUCAGUCUCUGCCCGCAUGCAUUUGAACGUUGCCUUGGCCACGAUCCUUAAGCUUGUCAAAAGUUGUGGAUCGAUAGGCAUUGACAAAAAAAUAUAAGCUCUAUGUUCUGAAAUACAGGUAGAGCAGCAGCUAUAGCACCCCUAGAGAGAUUGCGUUGAUUGAUUCUCAUCGUAUAUAUAACUCAACUAUUUAAAGUAUUCUAUAUACACUGAAAUCGUGCUCAUAAUUUUUUAAAGUAUUCUAUAUGCACUGAAAUCGAGCUCAUAAUUUUUU
Molecule: long non-coding RNA, 885 nt
Filed under: Triticum aestivum (bread wheat)
Lineage: Eukaryota; Viridiplantae; Streptophyta; Magnoliopsida; Poales; Poaceae
Description: long non-coding RNA (TAES_LNC014301)
Source: RNAcentral